Non-coding RNA from Xenorhabdus bovienii SS-2004, 78 nucleotides. NCBI's taxonomy places the organism in Bacteria, Pseudomonadati, Pseudomonadota, Gammaproteobacteria, Enterobacterales, Morganellaceae. The record is from Rfam.
ACGUUAGCAAAAUCUAACGUCAGGCGUGGAAACCUGAGAAUAGUAAAGGCGACAGUAGACGCCACAUGCGUCUUUUUU